Molecule: ribosomal RNA, 468 nt
Filed under: uncultured bacterium
Lineage: Bacteria
Description: partial 16S ribosomal RNA
Rfam family: Bacterial small subunit ribosomal RNA
Source: RNAcentral
AACGAACGCUGGCGGCAUGCCUAACACAUGCAAGUCGAACGGUGAAGGCGGAGCUUGCUCUGCUGGAUCAGUGGCGAACGGGUGAGUAACACGUGAGCAAUCUGCCCCUGACUCUGGGAUAAGCGCUGGAAACGGCGUCUAAUACUGGAUACGAGCUGCGAAGGCAUCUUCAGCAGCUGGAAAGAACUUCGGUCAGGGAUGAGCUCGCGGCCUAUCAGCUUGUUGGUGAGGUAACGGCUCACCAAGGCGUCGACGGGUAGCCGGCCUGAGAGGGUGACCGGCCACACUGGGACUGAGACACGGCCCAGACUCCUACGGGAGGCAGCAGUGGGGAAUAUUGCACAAUGGGCGAAAGCCUGAUGCAGCAACGCCGCGUGAGGGACGACGGCCUUCGGGUUGUAAACCUCUUUUAGCAGGGAAGAAGCGAAAGUGACGGUACCUGCAGAAAAAGCGCCGGCUAACUACGUG